Molecule: long non-coding RNA, 240 nt
Filed under: Lathyrus oleraceus (garden pea)
Lineage: Eukaryota; Viridiplantae; Streptophyta; Magnoliopsida; Fabales; Fabaceae
Description: Pisum sativum (pea) long non-coding RNA (PSAT_LNC015873)
Source: RNAcentral
AAUAGGGGUCUAUGCUGAACAUUUUUUAAUAAUAACAAAAAUAAUGAGGGUAAAAAAUAAAUGAAAAUGGGAAUAAAUGGUAAAAAUAAAUAAAUAUAACAAGUGAAAAAAGAAAAUAAAAAAAAGGGAUACACAUGUUAGGGGUUGAACCCCUGACCUUCGGGACAUGGGGGGAUCAACCCACUCUCCCAUUGGGCCAAGGAUCUAGUUGUGUAAACAAAACACGCUGAACAAAUAAAU